AUACAAGUAUUUACUAAGAUAAAGAAUGUAUUAGAGACUCGCUAUUGGUAAACCGGGUCUUCUUGCUUGUACGUAAAGUGUGGUCCCAGAUAAGCCUGUGCAGUCUGAACAGACUAACUAGGGACGACACAUUUCGCUUUAUGGUAUGUUUCGUUAAAAGAAAAUCCAAUUAAGGCGGAAGUGUCGUCCCUGAUUAGCGUGUCCGGACUUCACAACCGAAUAAGGACGAUACUUAACGCACAGUCAUGAAGCCAGUUUUCCCAGAGCGAGGCUCAAAUCUUUAUCCAUGUAAAAUCUUUACAUGCAGUAACGAUUCAGAAGGCAUACCAAACACAAGUUACGUAAUAUAUUUCAGUUCUUCGUUGAAAAAUAAACAAAUAACAUUUAUUAAAUAGAUAAAUACAAAAUAAUACAAAAAUACAUACAUACAUAAAUAAAUAUAUGAAUAAAUAAUAGGACUUUGGUUAAGAACAAAAAUGUUAUUUAUUCAGCUAUUCAUGGUUCGGCCUGUAUCAUCGAUUACGAUUACAAGAUGUGGCAUAUUUUCACGGCAUCGUGCACCGCUCUUCGCGACAGGAGGAAGAUCGUCUGGAACACACAAAUGAUCUGAAAGGCGCGCGCACCGUUGACAUGGUAACGGUGGUAACGAUUGCAAAAGACAACAACCUCAGGGUGUGGGCUCGAUCCCGGGACAAAAAGAGGACCACAGAUCGGCAGGCCAGGACGCUGGCGCCAAUAGAAAGGAUCGAGACGUGUUUCACUGGACCACCAGGAUGCGUUGUUCGUGACCGGCAGUGCGGGAGAGGACUCGCCGAACAUAGUCGGCGUGUAUGAUGUCGGCAGACUGGAAUACCGCGCAAUCCGAGAACUUAAGGUGGCCUGCAAUGCAAACACGAGGUUUUACGAAGCAGACAACAGAUCAGUGGUCAUGGAAAUUUACGAUAAGUUUUACUUGUUUGACCUUGAAAAAAUGGACGUCAGCAUCGUGUUUCUGGGUCGAGUAGUCGAUACACGAGUGUUUAUCUUGACCAAACGGAAGCAACUCCUCGUGACGUCACGUUUUGUCACGUUUUGGCAAGAACGUGAAACUGUACAACAUCACAAACGGCUGCAUUGACGACAUAAUAAAAACUGGGCACAAGAAGGAGAUCUACCAAGUUGUGGUGAACGAUCCGGGAACGCUCGCUGCAGUGACGGUAGUUUUUGGACCUGUAGUGUUGAUGGACCUUGUCACUCACUCUCGCAUGUAUGAGAUCUCAAACAGUACGUUCAGGAGAUGCGAAAGUAUCUUUACCUCUCAGAAUUAAACAUACGUUGGAAUUUCGCGGCAUAUAUCGUACAGUAUAUUUUAAUGUUAGCGGCGUUUCUUUUUCUGUGUACGCAUUGCAUACUAGCAUAACAUAUACUAUCAAUAAAUCGCACUUUGCGAA
This is a long non-coding RNA of Dreissena polymorpha, 1430 nucleotides long. RefSeq lists it as uncharacterized. The record is from RefSeq and is a predicted model, not a curated record. The transcript is spliced from 5 exons. Lineage: Eukaryota; Metazoa; Mollusca; Bivalvia; Myida; Dreissenidae.